Long non-coding RNA from Gallus gallus (chicken), 458 nucleotides. The record is from Ensembl. NCBI's taxonomy places the organism in Eukaryota, Metazoa, Chordata, Aves, Galliformes, Phasianidae.
CUGCUAUUAAAAUUUCUCAAAUUUUGCCUGAAGAACUUGCUGAAGUCUCCCGUCUUCAGCACUGUGUUCUUAGAUAUCUGGAAAUCAGAGCAAAGAGUUGGCAGAAGUCUUUGCUAUAACAGCAGAUAAUACUGUAAAGGAUAAAAUAAAAGGCCAAGAAGAGGAAAGAAUGAAAACUAUGAAAAUACAAGACCACAAGGAUGUUGGAUGUUCAAGGUUUUCUGAAGCAGUGUUGUAUUUCUUAACUGUAAUGAAAAAAUCCUGAAGUGCAAUUCCUCCCUUUUUUCCUCUUGGCAAGAUGCCUUGAAGAAGCUGUUAUUGGUCUACCUGAAUUUUCAUUCUUCUUUGAAACCUGGGUAACCAUCCAUGAGUCACAGGAAAUCCACAAUGAGUUGUGGGAAACACAUUUCUUAGGUAGCAGGAGAGAAGGGGACCUAGACUACACCUCAAUAAAUCAG